This 371-nucleotide ribosomal RNA is filed under the name uncultured bacterium. RNAcentral's name for it is "partial 16S ribosomal RNA". It matches the Rfam family "Bacterial small subunit ribosomal RNA", at positions 523 to 892 of the family's 1533-position model. The record is from RNAcentral.
AUACGAAGGGUGCAAGCGUUACUCGGAAUUACUGGGCGUAAAGCGUGCGUAGGUGGUUGUUUAAGUCUGUCGUGAAAGCCCUGGGCUCGACCUGGGAAUGGCGAUGGAAACUGGGCGACUAGAGUGUGGCAGAGGGUAGUGGAAUUCCUGGUGUAGCAGUGAAAUGCGUAGAGAUCAGGAGGAACAUCCGUGGCGAAGGCGACUGCCUGGGCCAACACUGACACUGAGGCACGAAAGCGUGGGGAGCAAACAGGAUUAGAUACCCUGGUAGUCCACGCCCUAAACGAUGCGAACUGGAUGUUGGGUGCAAUUUGGCACGCAGUAUCGAAGCUAACGCGUUAAGUUCGCCGCCUGGGGAGUACGGUCGCAAG